RNAcentral lists this ribosomal RNA (406 nucleotides) under uncultured bacterium. RNAcentral describes it as "partial 16S ribosomal RNA". It matches the Rfam family "Bacterial small subunit ribosomal RNA", at positions 30 to 526 of the family's 1533-position model. The record is from RNAcentral.
AUUGAACGCUGGCGGCAGGCCUAACACAUGCAAGUCGAGCGAGCGGCGGACGGGUGAGUAAUGUUUGGGAAACUGCCUGCUGGAGGGGGAUAACUACUGGAAACGGUAUCUAAUACCGUAUACCUUCAGAUGUGCCUAGUUGGGAUUAGCUAGUAGGUGGGGUAACGGCUCACCUUGGCGACGAUCCCUAGCUGGUCUGAGAGGAUGACCUGCCAAACUGGGACUGAGACACGGUCCAGACUCCUACGGAAGGCAGCAGUGGGGAAGAUUGCGGAAUGGGCGCAAGCCUGAUGCAGCCGUGCCGCGUGUGUGAAGAAAGCCUUCGGAUUGUAAAGCACUUUCAGCGGGGAAGCGUUACCCGAAGAAGAAGCACCGACUGACUCCGUGCCAGCAGCCGCGGUAAUUC